AGGAGUCAUCCACACGAGCCCACGAAUCUCGAUCAGAAGUCUUGCUCCAGAAAAUCAGUACAGUAUGCUAAUACUGCGCUGAUCCUUCUUCGAUGGUUGAUCAGAUUCCUCCUUCUUCUUAAUUUAGACUCUUCCAAAGAUGAGAAAUAGGAGGAGGAGUUUUAGAUCUGAGACGCUCUCAAAAAAACUCAAGAUGGAGGAAGG
RNAcentral lists this long non-coding RNA (204 nucleotides) under Elaeis guineensis (African oil palm). RNAcentral's name for it is "long non-coding RNA (EGUI_LNC037605)". The record is from RNAcentral. Lineage: Eukaryota; Viridiplantae; Streptophyta; Magnoliopsida; Arecales; Arecaceae.